AGCGAACGCUGGCGGCAGGCUUAACACAUGCAAGUCGAGCGCCCACUUCGGUGGGAGCGGCAGACGGGUGAGUAACACGUGGGAACGUGCCCUUCAGUUCGGAACAACCCAGGGAAACUUGGGCUAAUACCGGAUACGCCCUUACGGGGAAAGAUUUAUCGCUGAAGGAUCGGCCCGCGUCUGAUUAGCUAGUUGGUGGGGUAAUGGCCCACCAAGGCUACGAUCAGUAGCUGGUCUGAGAGGAUGAUCAGCCACACUGGGACUGAGACACGGCCCAGACUCCUACGGGAGGCAGCAGUGGGGAAUAUUGGACAAUGGGCGCAAGCCUGAUCCAGCCAUGCCGCGUGAGUGAUGAAGGCCUUAGGGUUGUAAAGCUCUUUCGUUGGGGAAGAUAAUGACGGUACCCAAAGAAGAAGCCCCGGCUAACUUCGUGACAGCCGCCGCAGUAAG
This 450-nucleotide ribosomal RNA is filed under the name uncultured bacterium. RNAcentral's name for it is "bacterial SSU rRNA". It matches the Rfam family "Bacterial small subunit ribosomal RNA", at positions 29 to 524 of the family's 1533-position model. The record is from RNAcentral.